Molecule: ribosomal RNA, 510 nt
Filed under: Candida albicans
Lineage: Eukaryota; Fungi; Ascomycota; Pichiomycetes; Serinales; Debaryomycetaceae
Description: eukaryotic LSU rRNA
Rfam family: 5.8S ribosomal RNA (bases 143-296)
Source: RNAcentral
AAAAGGAUUUGCUUAUUGCACCACAUGUGUUUUUCUUUGAAACAAACUUGCUUUGGCGGUGGGCCCAGCCUGCCGCCAGAGGUCUAAACUUACAACCAAUUUUUUAUCAACUUGUCACACCAGAUUAUUACUUAAUAGUCAAAACUUUCAACAACGGAUCUCUUGGUUCUCGCAUCGAUGAAGAACGCAGCGAAAUGCGAUACGUAAUAUGAAUUGCAGAUAUUCGUGAAUCAUCGAAUCUUUGAACGCACAUUGCGCCCUCUGGUAUUCCGGAGGGCAUGCCUGUUUGAGCGUCGUUUCUCCCUCAAACCGCUGGGUUUGGUGUUGAGCAAUACGACUUGGGUUUGCUUGAAAGACGGUAGUGGUAAGGCGGGAUCGCUUUGACAAUGGCUUAGGUCUAACCAAAAACAUUGCUUGCGGCGGUAACGUCCACCACGUAUAUCUUCAAACUUUGACCUCAAAUCAGGUAGGACUACCCGCUGAACUUAAGCAUAUCAAUAGCCGGAGGAA